Molecule: ribosomal RNA, 253 nt
Filed under: uncultured bacterium
Lineage: Bacteria
Description: partial 16S ribosomal RNA
Rfam family: Bacterial small subunit ribosomal RNA
Source: RNAcentral
UACGGAGGGUGCGAGCGUUGUCCGGAUUUAUUGGGUUUAAAGGGUGCGUAGGCGGCUAUUUAAGUCAGUGGUGAAAUCCUUCAGCUUAACUGGAGAACUGCCAUUGAUACUGAAUAGCUUGAGUAUAGUUGAGGUAGGCGGAAUUGACAGUGUAGCGGUGAAAUGCUUAGAUAUUGUCAAGAACACCGAUUGCGAAGGCAGCUUACUAGACUAUAACUGACGCUGAGGCGCGAAAGCGUGGGUAGCAAACAGG